AUGGUCAGCGUCACCGAGCUCUGCCCGUUGUCCCUGGAGAUCGUGAACCGGCCCUGCACCGAUGGGCUCCGGGCGGCCGUGACCCUGCUGGAGUCCGGGGGGGACCUCCAGCCCCCCGGGGGGUCCCUGCGCCUCCUCUGCCGAGCGUCUGGCUUCAAUUUCGGACAAUUUGCGAUGGGCUGGUACCGGCAGAGACCCGGGCAGGCGCUGGAGUAUAUCGCAGACAUCAGUAGCAGUGGCAGCACCGCCUAUGCGCCAUCGUUCAAGGGCCGGUUCACGAUCUCCAGGGACAACGGGCAGAGCUCGGUGACGCUGACCAUGAACAACCUCAAGGACGAGGAUUCCGGAUCCUAUUUCUGCGCUAAAUCUCCUUAUACUGGUGGUGCUGGUGCUGGUUAUGUUCUCACCCGCUGA
Non-coding RNA from Passer domesticus (house sparrow), 414 nucleotides. The record is from the annotation of a RefSeq genome assembly. NCBI's taxonomy places the organism in Eukaryota, Metazoa, Chordata, Aves, Passeriformes, Passeridae.